RNAcentral lists this transfer RNA (73 nucleotides) under Actinocrispum wychmicini. It matches the Rfam family "tRNA". From Rfam's summary of the family: Transfer RNA (tRNA) molecules are approximately 80 nucleotides in length. Their secondary structure includes four short double-helical elements and three loops (D, anti-codon, and T loops). Further hydrogen bonds mediate the characteristic L-shaped molecular structure. tRNAs have two regions of fundamental functional importance: the anti-codon, which is responsible for specific mRNA codon recognition, and the 3' end, to which the tRNAs corresponding amino acid is attached (by aminoacyl-tRNA synthetases). tRNAs cope with the degeneracy of the genetic code in two manners: having more than one tRNA (with a specific anti-codon) for a particular amino acid; and 'wobble' base-pairing, i.e. permitting non-standard base-pairing at the 3rd anti-codon position. The record is from Rfam by way of RNAcentral. Lineage: Bacteria; Bacillati; Actinomycetota; Actinomycetes; Pseudonocardiales; Pseudonocardiaceae.
GCCCCUGUAGCUCAGCCGGUUAGAGCAGGACGCCUAUAACGUCAAGGUCGCGGGUUCAAGCCCCGCCGGGGUA